GGUAGGAUGGCUGAAUAAUAGGCGGUAAAUUGUAAAUUUAUUUAUGAGUGGUAAAUCUCUUCUAUCA
Molecule: transfer RNA, 67 nt
Filed under: Phyllomimus detersus
Lineage: Eukaryota; Metazoa; Arthropoda; Insecta; Orthoptera; Tettigoniidae
Also listed under: 1 other name
Description: tRNA-Tyr
Rfam family: tRNA
About the family: Transfer RNA (tRNA) molecules are approximately 80 nucleotides in length. Their secondary structure includes four short double-helical elements and three loops (D, anti-codon, and T loops).
Source: RNAcentral